GGUCAGCCUGGAGUAGUGGCUUGCGUAUUGGACUAUGACUCUGGAGACCAGGGUUCAAAUCCAUGCUUGGCCA
This is a non-coding RNA of Phrynosoma platyrhinos (Desert horned lizard), 73 nucleotides long. The record is from the annotation of a GenBank genome assembly. NCBI's taxonomy places the organism in Eukaryota, Metazoa, Chordata, Lepidosauria, Squamata, Phrynosomatidae.